This is a long non-coding RNA of Passer domesticus (house sparrow), 827 nucleotides long. RefSeq lists it as uncharacterized. The record is from RefSeq and is a predicted model, not a curated record. Lineage: Eukaryota; Metazoa; Chordata; Aves; Passeriformes; Passeridae. The transcript has 2 exons.
ACCGCGCUUACCACGGUCCUGAAAGCACUGGUCUCCAGCAUGGCGGUGCCCAUGUCAAUUACGCCGGCAGCUUUGCUGGGGGACAAGCUUUGCUUUUACCCAUCCAGCAAUAACAACACUGUGCUUGCAUCCCUCCCACCCUUCUCGGAAGAAGACCUCAUCUCUCCUGGAUCCAGGAAUUCUAUCGAUCCAUGGCAGAAGACCUGACCGAAUACGGUAAAGGACCUCGGUGGGUUCCAGUAAAGAACAUCAAGCCAUAUCUGCAGCCUCUACAAGAACACCAAGAUUUUCUACGGGAGGAACCCCAGGAAGAACCUACAGAAAAGACACCUUGAGGCUUGCGAAUAGCCAUCCCUCUCCUCCUACCUACUGCUGAUUAAUGCCACUGUUUUUUUAACUCCUUAAGCAUUAUUAAUUUUUGAGGUUAAUCCACAGGUUGUUCCACCAGACAUGACUCCUAAAGGACUCCUGCUUGCUAUACCCAUCCUGAUUGAUGCUUGUGGUAUUCACGUGCCCUCUGAACAGAGAGAAGCUGAGAGACAAGCAGAGAAGAAGGAAAAUCAUAAUUCUUAUCUCGCUUGCUGUGCCAAAGUAGAAUGCAAUAUGGAGAUGGUUUACCCAAAGUGAGGAUGUUUUGUUCCCUUGGCCUAUCAGGGCCAAGAGUGUGUCUGUGUCGGGACUGUCUGCUGACAGUCACGAGACAGGAGAGAAUCGAGGAUGAGUGCAGUUCUGUGCAGUUGUGAGCAAGGGUGAGUGCAAGGCAGAUUCAGUUUAGAUAUAAUGUAUAUAAUAUAGCAUAAUAAAGUAAUUAUUUAGCCUUCUGAUAA